This 441-nucleotide ribosomal RNA is filed under the name uncultured bacterium. RNAcentral's name for it is "partial 16S ribosomal RNA". It matches the Rfam family "Bacterial small subunit ribosomal RNA", at positions 338 to 795 of the family's 1533-position model. The record is from RNAcentral.
CCUACGGGUGGCAGCAGUGGGGGAUAUUGCACAAUGGGGGGAACCCUGAUGCAGCGACGCCGCGUGGGUGAAGGAGUGCUUCGGCAUGUAAAGCUCUAUCGGCAGGGAAGAAGCAAGACGGUACCUGACUAAGAAGCCCCGGCUAACUACGUGCCAGCAGCCGCGGUAAUACGUAGGGGGCGAGCGUUGUCCGGAUUCACUGGGUGUAAAGGGAGCGUAGACGGACAGGCAAGCCAGGGGUGAAAGCCCGGGGCACAACCCGGGAACUGCCUUUAGAACUGUGCGUCUAGAGUGCGGGAGGGGUAGGCGGAAUGCCUGGUGUAGCGGUGAAAUGCGUAGAUAUCAGGAGGAACACCGGCGGCGAAGGCGGCCUGCUGGACCGCGACUGACGUUGAGGCUCGAAAGCGUGGGGAGCAAACAGGAUUAGAUACCCCAGUAGUC